This 437-nucleotide ribosomal RNA is filed under the name uncultured bacterium. RNAcentral describes it as "bacterial SSU rRNA". It matches the Rfam family "Bacterial small subunit ribosomal RNA", at positions 958 to 1397 of the family's 1533-position model. The record is from RNAcentral.
AACGCGAAGAACCUUACCGAGGCUUGACAUCCCUUGAAAUCCGUAGAAAUACGGCUUCCGUAGCAAUACGGCAAGGAGACAGGUGCUGCAUGGCUGUCGUCAGCUCGUGCCGUGAGGUGUUGGGUUAAGUCCCGCAACGAGCGCAACCCUCGCCGUGUGUUGGUCCGCAAGGAUCUCUCACGCGGGACCGCCGGUGAGAAGCCGGAGGAAGGUGGGGAUGACGUCAAGUCAGCAUGGCCCUUACGUCUCGGGCUACACACGUGCUACAAUGGGUGCGACAACGAGUUCCAAGCUCGCGAGGGUAAGGCAAUCUCUUAAACGCAUCCUCAGUUCGGAUUGAAGGCUGCAACUCGCCUUCAUGAAGUCGGAAUCGCUAGUAAACGCAGAUCAGCUACGCUGCGUUGAAUACGUUCCCGGGCCUUGUACACACCGACAUA